This is a long non-coding RNA of Strigops habroptila (Kakapo), 1468 nucleotides long. RefSeq lists it as uncharacterized. The record is from RefSeq and is a predicted model, not a curated record. The transcript is spliced from 2 exons. NCBI's taxonomy places the organism in Eukaryota, Metazoa, Chordata, Aves, Psittaciformes, Psittacidae.
CGGACGGAGGCGGCCGGGGAGCGCGGCGGGCGGCCCGCGGUGGAGGAGCAGCUGCGGAGCCUGCUGGAGGCCCGGCAGCGGCGGCUGCGAGCCCGGAUCGCCGCCUGCGAGAAGCUCACGGCGGAGAUGGGAGCGCUCCUGGACGCGCUCCGGGCUCCCCCUGCCCUGCUCCCACCGCCGCCUCGCCCGGCGCCCGGCCCGGCUGGAGGAGCCCGCCCGCCUUCCCCUUCCCUGGUACCGGGAGAGCCGGAGCGAUAGCAGGCGCUUCCCACAGCUGUGGCCUUGGAGCUCGCGUUGUCCUGCGGCACCGAUACCUUAUCUCACCCAGCUUACCCUUCAAAGCAAAGCGGGAUGGGCUCUGUCUGUACCUCGUGCGUGUGCCCGGGUCUGCUGCUUACAGGAGGAGGUGCGGCCUUGAACAGAUCCCACCGGUUUGUCCAAGCAUGGACUCUUCCCUUGGCUGUUCACAGGAUCAGGGUUUGGGAAUGAUCCGCUACACCGUGGGGAGGCUGGAGAGGAACAAACGCUCUGUGCUGUGGGCAGCGACUCGGUCCUGACUAUCCCUACAGUCCCAAAGUCAGAGAUGCAUCAUCCAAGACAUGCACAAGCUACAGAGGGCCCAACUCAGAGGUUUGGGGUGGGAUGGGCUUUUUUUGCCACAUGGAAAUAUUUUGCCACGCUGAAAGCUUGAUUUACUCAGAUUGAGGGAAGAUUAGGAGAUUCAGUCUGUUUUCCUUAUCGACACUAUCUUUCUGCAAAGCUCCUCUUCUUACCAAGGACCACUUAGUACCUAAAACUUUCAGAGCUGCAAUGCUGAAGCUCUCAUGUUAACCAAAGGAAGAGUUGCCUUUCUCCCUGCCCCUGCAGCAUCAGCUGGCUCCUGCCACCUUAUGGCACCUAGACGGGUGUUUGCGUGAAGGGGACCAGGCAAGCCUCUCCCCUCUACAGAAAUUAAGAACUUUAACAUUAACAACUUCUGCUCCAACUCCUGAGGAUAUGGAGUUCAUGAAGGGCAGUGCAGGUGGGGAGGGAGGAUUUGGAAAUACCUUCACAUCCUGAUCAGUUCCUAAGGGGGCAGGGGAAGGAUCCUCACACAUCUCCCCCAAGAACUCAUAAAUACUGUUAGGAAAGACUAUUAUAACACAAUGUUUAAAUAAGCAUUUAAUUAGGAUUCCAUUAGUAUUAAUAUUGCUUUCAAUUCCAAAAAAGUUAAUUUCCACUUCUUUGCAGAUAUUUCAAAGUACAAUAUUAACUUCAUACAAAAUGAGCAAUUAAGCAAACACCAUUAUUUCACAUUUUACAUUCUUCAAAAAAUACAAAUUCAUAUUUACUCUUUGUUUGGGGGUUUUGGAGAUGCUCUUCCUUUGGAAGUACUGUACCUGUAACUAACAUCUUCACAUUGCUCAAUGUAAGCACAUUUUUUUUUUUUUCCCAUGUUUCAUAGUUAAAUAAAUUCCUUUAAUACCCA